AGACUUUGAUUCUGGCUCAGAACGAACGCUGGCGGCGCGUUUUAAGCAUGCAAGUCGAGCGGCAAGGGCCUCCGGGCCCCUAGAGCGGCGGACGGGUGAGUAACACGUGGACAAUCUGCCCCCCGGCCGGGGAUAGCCCAGGGAAACCUGGAUUAAUACCGGAUGAGACGGGACGCACGAUGGUGCGGUCCGGGAAAGGCGCUACGGCGCCGCCGGGGGAUGAGUCCGCGACCCAUUAGCUGGACGGCGGGGUAAAGGCCCACCGUGGCGACGAUGGGUAGCCGGCCUGAGAGGGUGGACGGCCACAUUGGAACUGAGACACGGUCCAGACUCCUACGGGAGGCAGCAGCUAAGAAUCUUCCGCAAUGGGCGAAAGCCUGACGGAGCGACGCCGCGUGAACGAAGAAGGCCGUGAGGUUGUAAAGUUCUUUUCGGGAGGGGGAAUGACCGUGGCAGGGAAUGGCCGCGGGAUGACGUGAAUCCCGGAACAAGCCCCGGCUAACUACGUGCCAGCAGCCGCGGUAACACGUAGGGGGGCGAGCGUUGUUUCGGAAUCUUUGGGCCUAAAAGGCCUUGC
RNAcentral lists this ribosomal RNA (577 nucleotides) under uncultured bacterium. RNAcentral's name for it is "bacterial SSU rRNA". It matches the Rfam family "Bacterial small subunit ribosomal RNA", at positions 8 to 573 of the family's 1533-position model. The record is from RNAcentral.